RNAcentral lists this ribosomal RNA (276 nucleotides) under Foraminifera environmental sample. RNAcentral describes it as "partial Bacterial large subunit ribosomal RNA". It matches the Rfam family "Bacterial large subunit ribosomal RNA", at positions 1281 to 1559 of the family's 2925-position model. Lineage: Eukaryota; Foraminifera. The record is from RNAcentral.
AUCAGAAGUGCGAAUGCUGACGUGAGUAACGACAAUGCGAGUGAAAAACUCGCACGCUGAAAGACCAAGGGUUCCAGUCCAACGUUAAUCGGGGCUGGGUGAGUCGACCCCUAAGGCGAGGCCGAGAGGCGUAGUCGAUGGGAAAUUGGUUAAUAUUCCAAUACUUCUGUGUAAUGCGAUGAGAGGACGGAGAAGGUUAAGUCAGCCUGGCGUUGGUUGUCCAGGUGGAAGGUUGUAGGCAUGUAUCUUAGGCAAAUCCGGGGUACUCUAUGCUGA